GUAGAUAUAGUUUAACUUAAAACAUUAGAUUGUGGUUCUAAAAACAGAGGUUAAAUCCCUCUUAUCCACC
This 70-nucleotide transfer RNA is filed under the name Silurus meridionalis. RNAcentral describes it as "tRNA-His". It matches the Rfam family "tRNA". Rfam says of the family: Transfer RNA (tRNA) molecules are approximately 80 nucleotides in length. Lineage: Eukaryota; Metazoa; Chordata; Actinopteri; Siluriformes; Siluridae. The record is from RNAcentral. RNAcentral also lists the same sequence under 3 other names.